ACAAAUAUAUAGCUCAUAGAAAGUCUCAUUUUUUCUUCUUCGUGAUCUUCUAUUUCUCAUAGUCCUCUUCUUUCUUACCCUUUGAUCCAGCAGCACCGGCCAGAUGCAAUAGUCUUUUGCCCCUUCGUAAAGAGGUAAAGAUCUUCUUCUUUUUUUUUGUGAUUCUUGACACUAAUCCAAGUUUCUGUAGUGAUAUAGGGGUAAUUAAUUCUAUGAAGUAAAUGAAUCGUUGCAUGCAUUUUUGAGGAAAACGAUCUAUAAUUUUUAGGGGUAUCUUGAUGGGAAAAGCUGUGUUUUGUUUCACCGUGAUAUAAAGUAAAAGUGACCUGAUAUUCUAAAAAUUACUCACUGAUAAAAUAUAUACGUAACUAAUUUAAUCUCUAAAAGAAAAGGUUUUGGAAGUAGAAGAAGAAGCAGUUGUUUUAACUGGCUAAGAUGGAAGGUGUUAAGUGCAUUAUUUUGGUUAAAAAUAUCUUCAUUCAUCUUGGCACGUACUUGCCUUACACGAUAACGGUCCACAUUAAGCCAUGCUGUGGGACAUAAUUGAUUUAUCACUCUUUAAUUAUUGGCAUGGCCCUGACCUAAGAUCUGGUGUAAUUUGCAGGGGAAAGAACAAUAAAAAUCAUAUGUACUAAAAAGGUGGAAUUCUCAGUCAUCAAAAUAAUUGCUAUACAUCAACAGAUUUUAAUUUAUAUGUGUAAUAACGGUGUUAAUUUUUUUCUAUUAACCCAAGUUCCUUCAGUUUCAAGCAAUUGAAAAACUCAAAGGCAACUUUAUGCCAUGGAGAAGCUUCUGAAUCCAUACGAUAAAGAAUACAUGAAGAUGGCCAUGGUAAAGCACGAGGAAACCUUUAGAGAACAGGUAAAAUAUAUAUAUAUUCUUAUCUUAACACAAUAUUUGCAUUAGUGUGAUAGUUAAGAUUUCUAGUUCUGAUCCGGGAUCAAAACAAAAAAUGUAACAUAAUAGGCGGUGAGUUAUUCUCUUCCCUCUCUCUUCUCUCUAACGGUAACUCCCAUCCCCCACCCCCAUGUCGAUUACCCCCUCCN
This 1046-nucleotide long non-coding RNA is filed under the name Nicotiana benthamiana. RNAcentral's name for it is "long non-coding RNA (NBEN_LNC016902)". The record is from RNAcentral. Lineage: Eukaryota; Viridiplantae; Streptophyta; Magnoliopsida; Solanales; Solanaceae.